This 497-nucleotide ribosomal RNA is filed under the name uncultured bacterium. Its description in RNAcentral is "partial 16S ribosomal RNA". It matches the Rfam family "Bacterial small subunit ribosomal RNA", at positions 28 to 507 of the family's 1533-position model. The record is from RNAcentral.
GACGAACGCUGGCGGCGUGCCUAAUACAUGCAAGUCGAGCGAACAGACGAGGAGCUUGCUCCUCUCACGUUUGCCGCGCACGGGUGAGUAACGCGUGGAUCACCUACCUAUCAGACUGGGAUAUCCUCGGAAAACCGGAGCUUAUACCGUAUAAUCUAUUGAACCGCAGUGUUGAUUAGUGAAAGACGGUGUUUCUGUAUCUUAUAGCUGCAUACGCGCCGCUUUAGCUAGUUGGGAAGGUAACGGCCUACCAAGGGGACGAUGCGUAGCCGACGUGAGAGGGUGAUCGGCCACACUGGAACUGAGACGCGGUCCAGACGACUACGAGAGGCAGCAGUAGGGAAUGUGCCGCAAUGGGCGAAAGCCUGACGGAGCAACGCCGCGUGAGUGAUGAAGAUCUUCGGAUCGUGAAACUCUGUUAUUAGGGAAGAACAAAUGUGGAAGUUACUAUACCCGUCGUGACGGUAACGAAUCAGAAAGCCACGGCUAACUACGUG